Molecule: long non-coding RNA, 555 nt
Organism: Ipomoea nil (Japanese morning glory)
Lineage: Eukaryota; Viridiplantae; Streptophyta; Magnoliopsida; Solanales; Convolvulaceae
Exons: 2
Source: RefSeq, a predicted model, not a curated record
UUCUUCCCCAUAGCUUUUCUUUGAAUAUCUGCAACUCUUUAGCUGCAAAAAUCAAGAACCCAAGCUAAAAAAACAGUAAAUUCUUGAGUUUCUUCAUAAAAGCUCUAAUCUUUGCAAGUACCCUGAGUUAAUAAUUGCUGAAUUAGUUAGUAUUUACUCUGCAAACUGUAUAAACACGAGAUUAACUGAUAAACCUUUAUAAUACAGUAAAUAUUUUUGGUCAGAAGAACAAGAUUUCAGUUUGGGUCUCUUUCCUGUACAUUGAUGAUGGAAAAGUGAACAUUUCCCUUUGCCCCUUUGGUCCUGAGAACUCAAAAGCAAAAAAUGAUAUUCAUUAGGGAAAGACUCUCAAAAAAGUUAGAUUGACUCGAUUUACCUCUUUAUGGGCCCGGAGGUGGGUUCAUGGGGUCCAGAACUAUGGGCAUACAGUUCAGUAUUGAGUCUCGAAGCUAGAUUGACUUGAUUUAUCUCCUCCCGCGUUUCGGGGCGUGUUCUUGAGGUCUAGGAUAUAGUCUAGCGAAGUCGAGAAAUUUGGGUUAUAAAACAAAAAAAAGA